GCGUCGUUUGCGACGCCCAACACACAAAACAAGCGGUGAGUGCUUUGGGGUGGGGUGACUGCGUACCUUUUGUAUAAUGGGUCAGCGACUUAUAUUCUGUAGCAAGGUUAACCGUAUAGGGGAGCCGAAGGGAAACCGAGUCUUAACUGGGCGUUAAGUUGCAGGGUAUAGACCCGAAACCCGGUGAUCUAGCCAUGGGCAGGUUGAAGGUUGGGUAACACUAACUGGAGGACCGAACCGACUAAUGUUGAAAAAUUAGCGGAUGACUUGUGGCUGGGGGUGAAAGGCCAAUCAAACCGGGAGAUAGCUGGUUCUCCCCGAAAGCUAUUUAGGUAGCGCCUCGUGAACUCAUCUUCGGGGGUAGAGCACUGUUUCGGCUAGGGGGUCAUCCCGACUUACCAACCCGAUGCAAACUGCGAAUACCGAAGAAUGUUAUCACGGGAGACACACGGCGGGUGCUAACGUCCGUCGUGAAGAGGGAAACAACCCAGACCGCCAGCUAAGGUCCCAAAGUCACAGUUAAGUGGGAAACGAUGUGGGAAGGCUCAGACAGCCAGGAUGUUGGCUUAGAAGCAGCCAUCAUUUAAAGAAAGCGUAAUAGCUCACUGGUCGAGUCGGCCUGCGCGGAAGAUGUAACGGGGCUAAACUGUGCACCGAAGCUGCGGCAGCGACG
RNAcentral lists this ribosomal RNA (673 nucleotides) under Salmonella enterica. RNAcentral's name for it is "bacterial LSU rRNA". It matches the Rfam family "Bacterial large subunit ribosomal RNA", at positions 566 to 1213 of the family's 2925-position model. RNAcentral also lists the same sequence under 1 other name. Lineage: Bacteria; Pseudomonadati; Pseudomonadota; Gammaproteobacteria; Enterobacterales; Enterobacteriaceae. The record is from RNAcentral.